UACAGAGGUCCCAAGCGUUGUUCGGAUUCAUUGGGCGUAAAGGGUGCGUAGGCGGCAAGGUAAGUUGGAUGUGAAAUCCCGGGGCUCAACCCCGGAACUGCAUUCAAUACUGCUUUGCUAGAGUAUUGGAGAGGAGAUUGGAAUUCACGGUGUAGCAGUGAAAUGCGUAGAUAUCGUGAGGAAGACCAGUGGCGAAGGCGAAUCUCUGGACAAUAACUGACGCUGAGGCACGAAGGCUAGGGGAGCAAACGGG
RNAcentral lists this ribosomal RNA (253 nucleotides) under uncultured bacterium. Its description in RNAcentral is "partial 16S ribosomal RNA". It matches the Rfam family "Bacterial small subunit ribosomal RNA", at positions 524 to 776 of the family's 1533-position model. The record is from RNAcentral.